RNAcentral lists this RNase P RNA (425 nucleotides) under Corynebacterium tapiri. Its description in RNAcentral is "Bacterial RNase P class A". It matches the Rfam family "Bacterial RNase P class A". From Rfam's summary of the family: Ribonuclease P (RNase P) is a ubiquitous endoribonuclease, found in archaea, bacteria and eukarya as well as chloroplasts and mitochondria. Its best characterised activity is the generation of mature 5'-ends of tRNAs by cleaving the 5'-leader elements of precursor-tRNAs. Lineage: Bacteria; Bacillati; Actinomycetota; Actinomycetes; Mycobacteriales; Corynebacteriaceae. The record is from Rfam by way of RNAcentral.
CGAGCCGGCCGGGCGGCCGCGGCCUCCUUGAACUGCCUGCGCUAUGUGGGUGGGCGAGGGUCGAGGAAAGUCCGGACUCCACAGAGCACGGUGGUUGCUAACGGCAACCCGGGGCAACCCGAGGGAAAGUGCAACAGAGAGUAGACCGCCGCGUGCCUUCGGGUGCGAGGUAAGGGUGAAAGGGUGCGGUAAGAGCGCACCGGCGAGGCAGGUGACUGCCUCGGCCAGGUAAACCCCACUGGGAGCAAGGCAUCACGGCCCGCACACUGCGGGCCCGCUCAGACGCUUGAGGGCUGCUCGCCCGAGUCUGAAGGUAGCUGCUUGAGGCGCCCAGCAAUGGUGCGUCCAGAUGGAUGGUCGCCGCCACCUGCCCCAUUCGUCGAGGCAGGUGGAGACAGAAUCCGGCUUACAGGCCGGCUCGUUCG